Non-coding RNA from Ictidomys tridecemlineatus (thirteen-lined ground squirrel), 295 nucleotides. NCBI's taxonomy places the organism in Eukaryota, Metazoa, Chordata, Mammalia, Rodentia, Sciuridae. The record is from RefSeq and is a predicted model, not a curated record.
GCCAGUUCCCAAGCCCGACCUCUCUGGGUGUGUGCGGCCUGCGGACCCGCGCAGCCAGCGCGUUCCGGACGCGGCGGGCAGCCGGCCGGCGCGGCGGCUCGCAGGGACUUCGUGAGACUGGGUAUCUCCAAUGCAGAAACCCUUCAGUGGCUCAUCUCUGAAGCUGCCAUAGCACAACCCUAUGGAGAGUACAUUUCACAUUGGAGGCACUGUUAACUUUAUAUUUAGUAUAAAUAUUUUCUGGCAGAUUUCAGUAAAAUGUCUCGUUCUAACAAAGUGUAUUACAACAAUUUUC